CUGGCACCUUGAGGAGGUCUUCAGAAGCCGCUUCAGGGGUUGGUGUCCGGAUCGCUCUCCUGCUGUUUCCACCGGGGGACCUCUCCAGGCCCCAAGGUGGAGAGCUCGCUGUAAAUGGAUUCCCGCUGGCAGCUGCCAUUGCGCGGCCAAGUCCGAGGCCGACUCCGAGGCCGAGGCGACAUUCGAAGGCAUGGCCGUGCUCGCAGUUUCGCUCGCGGUCUCCUUCGCAGUCGCAGUGUCCUUCGCAGUCGCGGUCGUGGCCAUGGCUUUGGUCAUGGCCGUGGCCGCCAUCUUCACCAUCGCUGGCUCCUUAGUCAGAACAUGAACUUGUUGGGGGCCCUGGCAGAGAUACUGUACGCCACACAGAACGAACCCCUGAUGGAAGAGGGCCAUUUUAUCUGGGCGUUACCUUCGGCCCCAGAAUUCCAGGAGCCAACAGGUGACAAUGCAACCACAAGUAAUUCUGUGGAGCCGGCAGUGAACCAGGCAGACAAGGCAGCAUUAGAGCAGGCAGCAGCAGAGCAGGCAGAGGAAGAAGCCGAAGAGUGUGGAGAGGAGUUCGAACUACAGAUCACAGAUGCCAGAUCAAUAACUCAAUAUGAGUUUGACAACUGGGGUAAUGAUUUUAUAUAUGAAGAAGAGGAAGAAGCAGAAGAACAAACUGAAAACACAGAAGAAGAAGGAGUUGAAGAAGGUCCUGAAAAGGACCUUGACUCAGCAGAUGACAGCUCUUAAAAAUCCAGAUAAGAACAAUGAAAAGAAGACGGAAAAAGAAAAGUCUGUUGUUCAAUCUUUUUAGACUUUUCAGAAGCCCAUGGAAAAUUUUAGCACUGAUAGCAUUUUUAAAUGCAUUACACCAAAAAUUAGCUAAAUAAUAUUCCAAGUUCAUUACCUCAAAAGUGACAUCCCGUGACAACUACUCUUUCUCUUAUGGAUGAAUUUGACAAUGUUUAAUAAAACUAAAAAUGUUUGAGUGAAUAAACAGUU
This 987-nucleotide long non-coding RNA is filed under the name Chinchilla lanigera (long-tailed chinchilla). RNAcentral describes it as "lncRNA (ENSCLAG00000023017.1)". Lineage: Eukaryota; Metazoa; Chordata; Mammalia; Rodentia; Chinchillidae. The record is from RNAcentral.